This 253-nucleotide ribosomal RNA is filed under the name uncultured bacterium. RNAcentral's name for it is "partial 16S ribosomal RNA". It matches the Rfam family "Bacterial small subunit ribosomal RNA", at positions 524 to 776 of the family's 1533-position model. The record is from RNAcentral.
UACGUAGGGGGCAAGCGUUGUCCGGAUUUAUUGGGCGUAAAGAGCGUGUAGGCGGUUCGGUAGGUCCGUUGUGAAAACUCGAGGCUCAACCUCGAGACGCCGAUGGAAACCCCCGAACUAGAGUCCGGAAGAGGAGAGUGGAAUUCCUGGUGUAGCGGUGAAAUGCGCAGAUAUCAGGAAGAACACCCGUGGCGCAAGCGCCCAUCUGGCCAUGACCUGACGCUGUGGCACGAAAGCGUGGGGAGCGAACCGG